This 112-nucleotide ribosomal RNA is filed under the name Caerostris darwini. Lineage: Eukaryota; Metazoa; Arthropoda; Arachnida; Araneae; Araneidae. The record is from RNAcentral.
AACGGCCGUACCAUGCUGAAUAUACCGGUUCUCGUUAGAUCACCGAAGUCAAGCAUCAUUGGGCGCGGUCAGUACUAGGAUGGGUGACCACCUGGGAACACUGCGUGCCGUU